AAGACUAUAGACCUGCGGAGUACCUGCGGAAGGAUCAUUACCGAGUGCGGGUCCCUCGUGGCCCAACCUCCCAUCCGUGUUGACCGACACCUGUUGCUUCGGCGGGCCCGCCAGGGCUCCCGCCCCGGCCGCCGGGGGGCAUCGCCCCCGGGCCCGCGCCCGCCGAAGACCCCUCGAACGCUGCCUUGAAGGUUGCCGUCUGAGUAUCAAAUCAAUCGUUAAAACUUUCAACAACGGAUC
RNAcentral lists this unclassified non-coding RNA (240 nucleotides) under soil metagenome. RNAcentral describes it as "partial contains 5.8S ribosomal RNA, internal transcribed spacer 2, and large subunit ribosomal RNA". The record is from RNAcentral.